RNAcentral lists this ribosomal RNA (216 nucleotides) under Glomeromycotina sp. Its description in RNAcentral is "partial small subunit ribosomal RNA". The stretch from base 40 to 216 matches the Rfam family "Eukaryotic small subunit ribosomal RNA", at positions 686 to 864 of the family's 1831-position model. Lineage: Eukaryota; Fungi; Glomeromycota. The record is from RNAcentral.
GGGUCAGUAGGUUGGUCGUGCCACCGGUACGUACUGGUCUCACUGAUUCCUCCUUCCUGAAGAACCGUAAUGCCAUUAAUUUGGCGUUGCGGGGAAACAGGACUGUUACUUUGAAGAAAUUAGAGUGUUUAAAGCAAGCUAACGCUUGAAUACAUUAGCAUGGAAUAAUGAAAUAGGACGAUCGAUCCUAUUUUGUUGGUUUCUAGGAUUGACGUA